GACGAACGCUGGCGGCGUGCUUAACACAUGCAAGUCGAACGGAAAGGCCCUGCUUUUGUGGGGUGCUCGAGUGGCGAACGGGUGAGUAACACGUGAGUAACCUUCCCUUGACUUUGGGAUAACUUCAGGAAACUGGGGCUAAUACCGGAUAGGAGCUCCUGCUGCAUUGUGGGGGUUGGAAAGUUUCGGCUGUUGGGGAUGGACUCGCGGCUUAUCAGCUUGUUUGUGGGGUAGUGUCUUACCAAGGCUUUGACGGGUAGGCGGCCUGAGAGGGUCACCGGCGACAUUGGGACUGAGAUACGGACCAGUAGCGUACGGGAGGCAGCGGUGGGGAAUAUUGCACAGUGGGCGGAAGCCUGAUGAAGAAGCGCCGCGUGCGGGAUGAUGGCCUUCGGGUUGUAAACAGCUUUCGGAUGUGCCGAAGCGUGAGUGACGGUAAUGGGUAAAGAAGCAACGGCUAACUACGUG
RNAcentral lists this ribosomal RNA (468 nucleotides) under uncultured bacterium. Its description in RNAcentral is "partial 16S ribosomal RNA". It matches the Rfam family "Bacterial small subunit ribosomal RNA", at positions 28 to 507 of the family's 1533-position model. The record is from RNAcentral.